ACAUAACGCACGCGUACAGAAGGCAAUUGAGGAUCGGCGAUUGUAAUUGGAGAGAGUACUUUUGCAGCUAGACUUUUUGCAUACUGCUUACUGGAUUUUAAGUUGAAAUGAAGGAGUUAUUGGAUUUUGAAGUUAGUGCAUGCAAUCUAAGGAUAGUAAGUGAUCCAAUUUACUAGUGGUUGUGUCUUGAGCCAUAUCUUGAGCAAUUUGACAAGGUUUUGGC
This 223-nucleotide long non-coding RNA is filed under the name Physcomitrium patens. RNAcentral's name for it is "long non-coding RNA (PPAT_LNC001900)". Lineage: Eukaryota; Viridiplantae; Streptophyta; Bryopsida; Funariales; Funariaceae. The record is from RNAcentral.